This 253-nucleotide ribosomal RNA is filed under the name uncultured bacterium. RNAcentral describes it as "partial 16S ribosomal RNA". It matches the Rfam family "Bacterial small subunit ribosomal RNA", at positions 524 to 776 of the family's 1533-position model. The record is from RNAcentral.
UACGGGGGGGGCAAGCGUUGUUCGGAAUUACUGGGCGUAAAGGGCGCGUAGGCGGCGCGACAAGUCACUUGUGAAAUCUCCGGGCUUAACCCGGAGCGGCCAAGUGAUACUGUAGUGCUAGAGUGCGGAAGGGGCUACUGGAAUUCUCGGUGUAGCGGUGAAAUGCGUAGAUAUCGAGAAGAACACCUGCGGCGAAGGCGGGUAGCUGGGCCGACACUGACGCUGAGGCGCGAAAGCCAGGGGAGCGAACGGG